AAAGAGGGGGACCUUCGGGCCUCAAUUGCCAUGACGGAUGUGCCCAGAUGCGGAUUAGCUUGUUGGUGGGGUAACGGCUCACCAAGGCGACGAUCCCUAGCUGGUCUGAGAGGAUGACCAGCCACACUGGAACUGAGACACGGUCCAGACUCCUACGGGAGGCAGCAGUGGGGAAUAUUGCACACAUGGGCUGCAAGCCUGAUGUCAGCCAUGCCGCGUGUAUGAAGAAGGCCUUCGGGUUGUAAAGUACUUUCAGCGGGGAGGAAGGGAGUAAAGUUAAUACCUUUGCUCAUUGACGUUACCCGCAGAAGAACGCACCGGCUAACUGCCAGUGCCAGCAGCCGCGGUAAUACGGAGGGUGCAAGACGUUAAUCGGAAUUACUGGGCGUAAAGCGCACGCAGGCGGUUUGUUAAGUCAGAUGUGAAAUCCCCGGGCUCAACCUGGGAACUGCAUCUGAUACUGGCAAGCUUGAGUCUCGUAGAGGGGGGUAGAAUUCCAGGUGUAGCGGUGAAAUGCGUAGAGAUCUGGAGGAAUACCGGUGGCGAAGGCGGCCCCCUGGACGAAGACUGACGCUCAGGUGCGAAAGCGUGGGGAGCAAACAGGAUUAGAUACCCUGGUAG
RNAcentral lists this ribosomal RNA (621 nucleotides) under Escherichia coli. RNAcentral describes it as "bacterial SSU rRNA". It matches the Rfam family "Bacterial small subunit ribosomal RNA", at positions 189 to 793 of the family's 1533-position model. The record is from RNAcentral. Lineage: Bacteria; Pseudomonadati; Pseudomonadota; Gammaproteobacteria; Enterobacterales; Enterobacteriaceae.